Molecule: ribosomal RNA, 497 nt
Filed under: uncultured bacterium
Lineage: Bacteria
Description: partial 16S ribosomal RNA
Rfam family: Bacterial small subunit ribosomal RNA
Source: RNAcentral
GAUGAACGCUGGCGGCGUGCCUAAUACAUGCAAGUCGAGCGAACAGACGAGGAGCUUGCCCCUUUGACGUUAGCGGCGGACAGGUGAGUAAAACGUAGGUAACCUACCUAUAAGACUGGGAUAAAUUCGGGAAAACGGUGCUAAAAACGGAUAAUAUUUCCAACAGCAUGGUUCGAUAGUGAAAGAUGGCUUUGCUAUCACUUAUAGAUGGACCUGCGCCGUAUUAGCUAGUUGGUAAGGUAACGGCUUACCAAGGCAACGAUACGUAGCCGACCUGAGCGGGUGAUCGGCCACACUGGAACUGAGACACGGUCCAGACUCCUACGGGAGGCAGCAGUAGGGAAUCUUCCGCAAUGGGCGAAAGCCUGACGGAGCAACGCCGCGUGAGUGAUGAAGGUCUUCGGAUCGUAAAACUCUGUUAUUAGGGAAGAACAAACGUGUAAGUAACUGUGCACGUCUUGACGGUACCUAAUCAGAAAGCCACGGCUAACUACGUG